RNAcentral lists this long non-coding RNA (609 nucleotides) under Betta splendens (Siamese fighting fish). RNAcentral's name for it is "lncRNA (ENSBSLG00000026608.1)". The record is from RNAcentral. Lineage: Eukaryota; Metazoa; Chordata; Actinopteri; Anabantiformes; Osphronemidae.
AUGGACGGUGUAAAGUUACCACAGACGCAGUUGUACCUCAGUGGCGACGCUGUUCACACAAGAUGUAACCUUAAAGACUGCUGGUUUUUGUGUCUUGCACCUCAUUCGCCUGCGUUCGUCUCUGUCGCGAUGGGCAACUAUAGCUCAGCCCUCCUUUCUGAAACUGAGGAGUUUGUUUCUAUUGUGUCAGUCACGGAGAAGCUGAAUGAGCAGGCAACGCUGAUGGAGCAGACGAUAAAGCAAAACCAGGAUGAAGCUCCGGGUUCUCUCCCACGUCAAGAAAACUCUCACCAAAACACAUGUGCUGCGCCUGCAGCAGAAUCCAGACGUGGGCCGACUCCUCCCCUCUCCUCUUUGUUGCCCAAGGUUUUCUCCGCCGUGCUGCAUCCAGCCUCGGCCCCAGUCACAGGCCCAGAGCCGAGCGCUAACCCACCGACCCUGGAACGGCUUCAGACGGAGCUCCAAGACCUGAGGGACCAGUUUGAACGGAUGAAGAGCCAGCACAACAAAGAAAUUAAACUGCUGAUGAACGAGUUGGAUGAAGAGAAAAGGAUUCGCUUGACUUUGCAGAUGGAGAUUCAGCGAAUGAAGAAGCACAUGUCGAAAUGA